Molecule: long non-coding RNA, 296 nt
Filed under: Homo sapiens (human)
Lineage: Eukaryota; Metazoa; Chordata; Mammalia; Primates; Hominidae
Description: non-protein coding lnc-JUNB-1:1
Source: RNAcentral
CUGAGCGGCUGGGACCUUGAGAGCGGCCAGGCCAGCCUCGGAGCCAGCAGGGAGCUGGGAGCUGGGGGAAACGACGCCAGGAAAGCUAUCGCGCCAGAGAGGGCGACGGGGGCUCGGGAAGCCUGACAGGGCUUUUGCGCACAGCUGCCGGCUGGCUGCUACCCGCCCGCGCCAGCCCCCGAGAACGCGCGACCAGGCACCCAGUCCGGUCACCGCAGCGGAGAGCUCGCCGCUCGCUGCAGCGAGGCCCGGAGCGGCCCCGCAGGGACCCUCCCCAGACCGCCUGGGCCGCCCGG